CUAUGAAAUAACCUUUGGUGUCAUGACUUGUGAAAGGGGAAAGCUCUUGGCAUCUAGUGGCCACCGAAGCCAUUAAGCAUUCUACAGUGAAGAGGACAAUCUCCUCCAGCUAAAGAUUAUCCAGGUCUACACUUUUCACCACCUGUGGACACGUCCCUACUGAGGAAGUUUCUUCUGCUUUAUAUUUCAAGAGGCUGUGGAUCCAACCAAGCCUUUGAAGCGUAGUCACGGCACACCCAAACGAAAAAGAAGAAGCCCAAGCUACAAGAACUUUGCUAUGGAGGACACACUUGAAAAUCUAUAUGAUUUCCUUGACAUUUUCCAAACUAUAAAAUGACAUGACUAUUCUGGUGGUUUGGUCCCUUUGGUUUUAUUCAAGGAUUUGCUUCGGGCAGUACUUUAGAAUCAAGCUUUUUAAAGGCCAAGAGUUUAAACAAACACACACACACACACACACACACACACACACACACAC
Peromyscus maniculatus bairdii (prairie deer mouse) is the source of this 475-nucleotide non-coding RNA. NCBI's taxonomy places the organism in Eukaryota, Metazoa, Chordata, Mammalia, Rodentia, Cricetidae. The record is from RefSeq and is a predicted model, not a curated record.